Molecule: ribosomal RNA, 367 nt
Filed under: uncultured bacterium
Lineage: Bacteria
Description: bacterial SSU rRNA
Rfam family: Bacterial small subunit ribosomal RNA
Source: RNAcentral
GCUCAGGAUGAACGCUGGCGGCGUGCCUAACACAUGCAAGUCGAGCGAGGGUUUGCUCAGUAUUGAGUAUUCUAAGACUAGAAUGUUCAAUUCUGAGCAAAACCAAGCGGCGGACGGGUGAGUAACGCGUGGGUAACCUGCCCUAUACACAUGGAUAACAUACUGAAAAGUUUACUAAUACAUGAUAAUAUAUAUUUGCGGCAUCGCAGAUAUAUCAAAGUGUUAGCGGUAUAGGAUGGACCCGCGUCUGAUUAGCUAGUUGGUGAGAUAACUGCCCACCAAGGCGACGAUCAGUAGCCGACCUGAGAGGGUGAUCGGCCACAUUGGAACUGAGACACGGUCCAAACUCCUACGGGAGGCAGCAGUA